CGAGAGAGGGAGAGAGAAGAGGUCAACUCUGAGACAGAAACUGUGAGAGCGACAGUGAUCGAGAGAGAGAGUGAGACGGCAACUCUGAGAGAUAAUAGAGGUCUGAGUUUGUUUGGGAAGAGAUCCGGUUUCAGUAUAGAGAGAUUGAGAGACAGAAGCACUGAGAGCGAAGUAGAGGUCGAUAGCAAAAUUUGGAUCGGUUUGUUUUGUUUUGUAUCUAGAGAGAUUGGCGCAGAGGCUUCGCUGCAGAGAUAGAGAGAUAUUCGUAUAGAAUCUUCGCAUAAUUGGUGGUUUAAGAUUGCUCAGAAGUCAUGAGUCUUUUACCAAUCAAGGCAGCCAAAAUACUAGCUGAAAGUUACAGUGGAGGAAUAAAACAUGACUUAAAGUGUGGCAAUAGCCCUUACCCCGAUGACAGAAUUUCCAUGAUCUAAAGCUUUAGAACAUCAGAUUAUUAUCUGAACCAAGCCACCAAAAGUUGCCAAAGAGUAACAGUGGUAGACAAACAGAGAACAAAACUGCAGCUGACAUCAAAUCUGUACAGUACGAACUUUGAAGCACCCAAGUAUGUGGAACAUAAAAAAAUUGAUGAAAAAGUUCACACAGAGUAUCAUUCUAAGCACUUACCCCAAAGAAACUUGAAGUUGCCUCCUCAAAUUACCAACCACAUGAUGAAUGGAUGCAUGGAGCUCAAAUAGUUGUGUCUAAUAUGAGGAAUGUGACAAAUCACGAUGGUUGAUGCCUGGGAUGUUUAGAGCCAAUGCGAAUGCGGUUACUUGAAAAGGCAUGCCUUUUUUACGCACAAGAGCUCAAAUGAUGAGGUUUUUGAUGCUAAAAAGACCUUGAUAGUGACAAAGACAUUGAAGCAUUGCUUCGCUUCAGCAUAUUUUGUGGCCUUACUUCAUGACAGUCUUGGAAUCUCUUUGGAUCAUGAAAGGUAUACGCAUUUUAUUGCAGAAUUGUAUACCCCUCGAUUACUCAAUUACAGACAAGACUGCCAUGUUGGUUUUAGUUCAGUAGUACUUCUUUAGACGAGUUCUCCAAUUGCCAUAAUGAUCUUUAAACCGACUCCAAUAUUUUUUGAAUGUUUCCUCUUGCUUAGUGCUAUAUAUUAGACAUGCUGUUCCUUUUGCAGGUAACUAGCAUUUCACAACUACAAUGGGAGCAACCAUUUUUUUUACACUUACUCCAGUAACAAAUUUUGCUACGCUGGUUUAGAAGUAAACCUUUUGUAAAGCUACAACUAAAGCAGCUGAACCUGUUCUAAAAUAGCAUUGCUGAAACAAUUCCAAUAGCGAACCCAUUUUUUUUUUCAAUCAACUGUCAGGUUAACCUUUUGUAUAUAAAAAAACUUUCACUCUUUCAAUAAAAAAAAAAAAAAAAAAAAACAAACCCUAGCUCUCUCUCUCUCUCUCCCAUAGCUGUCCAGGUCUUCUCCUCUUCUUCUAGUGUCGCUCGUCCGGCGGCGGCCCAGCGUCGGUGUCAACCUUGGUUGCGCUGAUGCUAUAGAGCUGCUGCCGGACGGGUGGUGUUUUGGGCUUGCCUUCGGACCUGGAAUGGGUUUGCUUGGAGGCGGAUCAAUGGUGGUGGUCAAUCUGUGUCUGGUCUCCCUGCAACGCUUGAGGCGGUAUGGUCAUGAUCGUUUUCAUGGGUCGGCGCUAGGUGGCGUGGGAUGGUUCUCACCAGACGGCAGCGGCUGUGUGUUGGCGUAGGGUGGUUACCAGAUGGCGGCGGCUGUGUUUGGUAUUACGGAGGCGGCGGAUCGGGGUGCUGUUUCUGGGAGGAUUGUUGUGGCAAGCCCUCUGAAGAUGGUGUCGAGGUUCGUCUGGCUCUGAUGGUAUCCGGUCUGUGAGACGGCGGCGGCGGUCGUUGGGUCUGAUGAUGCUGCACAGCGAAGCAGGGCUGGGCUAGGCUGGGCCAGACUUUGGUUUGCGUCUGGGUUGGGCCUCUCUUGGGCUCUUGGGCGGCUGCUCUUAAUUAAUGUUGCUUGUUUUUUAUUUGUCAAUAAACCCCUUGUUCUAUAAGGGAUUGUUUUAGUGGGCUUCAGCCCGAUCUAGGCUUUUUUAGUUCUUGAGUCGUCAGUUUAGGUGACAAACCUCGAUCAUUUUUAGCUCGAUCGGGUUUGUCUUGUCUAUGCUCGUUGAAGCUCCUCUAGGAGCCUUUGUAGAAGUACUUGGUUUCAACGUACCACAAUUGCGUGCUCGGCGUUUGGGGUCAGGUAGAUUAGAUUGCCUACGAGGCGAGGUGUUUUUUGCUAGCAUAGACUACUCUACGCUAUCAAUGUGUAUACAGAGUAGUCUUUAGUACUAUUCUAACCCAUGAUUCAGGGUCAUAUUAUUGCUAUGAACUCUUUAUAUAAAAAAAAAAUAGAAUGCAAUAAUUUUUCUUC
Molecule: long non-coding RNA, 2386 nt
Organism: Rosa chinensis
Lineage: Eukaryota; Viridiplantae; Streptophyta; Magnoliopsida; Rosales; Rosaceae
Exons: 6
Source: RefSeq, a predicted model, not a curated record